CGGAGGCUUGAGAAAGUUUUGCAGUUUUUUUGGUACUGCCACAACUGGUUCUGUCCUCCAAGAUUAAACAUCAAACACUGCAGCUCUGUCUGAAUGAUUUAUUCAGACCAUUAGCUGUGUUUGUGAACACUUC
Small nucleolar RNA from Misgurnus anguillicaudatus (oriental weatherfish), 133 nucleotides. RefSeq annotates it as small nucleolar RNA SNORA47. The record is from RefSeq and is a predicted model, not a curated record. NCBI's taxonomy places the organism in Eukaryota, Metazoa, Chordata, Actinopteri, Cypriniformes, Cobitidae.